Esox lucius (northern pike) is the source of this 1501-nucleotide long non-coding RNA. The record is from Ensembl. Lineage: Eukaryota; Metazoa; Chordata; Actinopteri; Esociformes; Esocidae.
GGGAGGAAAAACAUCUGCACCAGGUAAUUGACAAGAUAAACCCAGGGGCUGGCUAUUGCUAUGACCUGUAAAUAGAUAAGACGUUGGACAUCGAAGUAAAGGUUCAAGGUGUAGAUUCUGUACUAACUGUAAUAAGCACAGUUACUUCGACUGUUCUACUAUUCUACUAAAGGUUCUCCUCUCAUAGAGUACCCACACCCAAAACACAUCUGUACAUAUGUCAAGCAGCUUCCAGCGCUGUUUAUCUGAAAAAAGACAGUGUUUUGCUCAGGCAAGCUGACUUUUCAUUUCCUACGGCAGGAGCAGGCUUCCCUGGUGCUAUAGGCAGCCACAAACACUUAAUGUUUUUUCGUCUAACAAACCUGCAAAACAGGUGUGUUGAAUUGAGGCAAUAACUGUGAUGUCUUGUUUCUUGUAGUACCUGGGCUCCCCAGGAGCAGUGUUGCUUCUCCCGGUUCUCCGUAUCCACAUUGUGCUGCAAAAGGUGCUUGAACGUUGCAAAUAGAAAUUGCAUGAAUAUGGCAGACGUAAUUCCUAAUGUUAUACGUUGGAAAGGAAUAUUUGUUCUACAUAGCAUAUUUCUAUCUGAACGUUCUGACACUGAGUACAGCCCAAUUAGGCGGCCAGAGCACAGGCUGGAGGACGUUUCGAAUGUUUAAUCAGGUUGCCUUGAAGCUACUGGGCUGGACCAGAGCAUUGUAGACACAGUUUAGACCUGGCACUAACGUGUUUUUUGUCCUGACCUUGUCCACAUUCUGGUUGUGUACACAAUGUAGACAGUGUAGCCGAUUGAAGUACACACUGUGAUGGGAUUGUUAUCAGUGUGAACAGACAAGAUCAGGGCAUGCUAACAGCAGGUGUGAACAGACAAGAUCAGGGCAUGCUAACAGCAGGUGUGAACAGACAAGAUCAGGGCAUGCUAACAGCAGGUUUGAACAGGACUCUGGAAACGUGUUGACUUCCUCCAUUUUGUGUUUUUAACUUGAGAAAUUAUGUAAAUGUAAACUUCUUCCAAUUCCACCUCCUGACUUCAACUCAGCCAAGCAUCACUUCAGUUCCAUCAAGAUAUGAUGAGGAGUGAAGGCAGAUGGAGAAAACAGACCAUUCAUAUAAAACACAAACACUGUUUGUCCCUUUGGUCCGAGCUAUGCAUUAGAGGACAUUGUAGCAUGAAAGAAAAGAAAAAAUACUUAUUGUCAUGGGUAAUUUUGAUUACAAACAUAGCAGUUUUAAGGUAGGGUGGGAGUUGGGGGGUGAAAAGAAAACAUGUUGGCUGUAUGUUUAAAGUACCUUUAAAAGAUCGGUAUGUAAAGUUCCCUUUAAAGGACUAGAAUGUUUGAAGGACCUUUAAAGGACUAGUAUGUUUAAAGAUUUAAAUGUGGAACGAUUAUGGAAAUGUGUGGUUACCGUGAUCCAUUAUGGAAAUGUAUGGUUACCGUGGUCCAUUAUGGAAACCUGGUAUUGUUAUGGUCCUGUGGUUGCCAAAAUAAAACAAGAAAGG